This 498-nucleotide ribosomal RNA is filed under the name uncultured bacterium. RNAcentral's name for it is "partial 16S ribosomal RNA". It matches the Rfam family "Bacterial small subunit ribosomal RNA", at positions 30 to 523 of the family's 1533-position model. The record is from RNAcentral.
AUUGAACGCUGGCGGCAUGCCUUACACAUGCAAGUCGAACGGUAACAGGUCUUCGGAUGCUGACGAGUGGCGAACGGGUGAGUAAUACAUCGGAACGUGCCCGAUCGUGGGGGAUAACGAAGCGAAAGCUUUGCUAAUACCGCAUAAGAUCUAAGGAAGAACGCAGGGGACCGAAAGGACGUGCGCGAACCGAACGGCCGAUGGCAGAUUAGGUAGUUGGUGGGAUAAAAGCUUACCAAGCCGACGAUCUGUAGCUGGUCUGAGAGGACGACCAGCCACACUGGGACUGAGACACGGCCCAGACUCCUACGGGAGGCAGCAGUGGGGAAUUUUGGACAAUGGGCGCAAGCCUGAUCCAGCAAUGCCGCGUGCAGGAUGAAGGCCUUCGGGUUGUAAACUGCUUUUGUACGGAACGAAAAGACUCUGGUUAAUACCUGGGGUUCAUGACGGUACCGUAAGAAUAAGCACCGGCUAACUACGUGCCAGCCGCCGCCGUAA